UACAGAGGUCUCAAGCGUUGUUCGGAUUCAUUGGGCGUAAAGGGUGCGUAGGCGGACCUGCAAGUCGGGGGUGAAAGCCCGAGGCUCAACCUCGGAACUGCCUUCGAUACUGCGGGUCUCGAGUCCGGGAGAGGUGAGUGGAAUUCCUAGUGUAGAGGUGAAAUUCGUAGAUAUUCGCAAGAACACCAGUGGCGAAGGCGGCUCACUGGCCCGAUACUGACGCUGAGGCACGAGGGCCAGGGGAGCAAACGGG
RNAcentral lists this ribosomal RNA (253 nucleotides) under uncultured bacterium. RNAcentral's name for it is "partial 16S ribosomal RNA". It matches the Rfam family "Bacterial small subunit ribosomal RNA", at positions 524 to 776 of the family's 1533-position model. The record is from RNAcentral.